UACGUAGGUGGCAAGCGUUGUCCGGAAUUAUUGGGCGUAAAGGGAGCGCAGGUGGGAAUGUAAGUCAGUCUUAAAAGUGCGGGGCUCAACCCCGUGAGGGGAUUGAAACUACAUUUCUUGAGUGCAGGAGAGGAAAGUGGAAUUCCUAGUGUAGCGGUGAAAUGCGUAGAGAUUAGGAGGAACACCAGUGGCGAAGGCGACUUUCUGGACUGUAACUGACACUGAGGCUCGAAAGCCAGGGGAGCGAACGGGAUUAGAUACCCGCGUAGUCC
Molecule: ribosomal RNA, 272 nt
Filed under: uncultured bacterium
Lineage: Bacteria
Description: partial 16S ribosomal RNA
Rfam family: Bacterial small subunit ribosomal RNA
Source: RNAcentral